Pelodiscus sinensis (Chinese soft-shelled turtle) is the source of this 123-nucleotide non-coding RNA. The record is from RefSeq and is a predicted model, not a curated record. Lineage: Eukaryota; Metazoa; Chordata; Testudines; Trionychidae.
UCCUUUGCUUUUAGAUAAACUGCAGGGUGAGCUCAAGUGGAGAAGAGCCCUACUAAAUGCAGGCUGGGAGAAAGCCAGACAACAUGCAGGUAACUGCUGUAAACUCUGCUGAAUGUGAUCUUU